RNAcentral lists this transfer RNA (59 nucleotides) under Macropostrongyloides mawsonae. Its description in RNAcentral is "tRNA-Ile". Lineage: Eukaryota; Metazoa; Nematoda; Chromadorea; Rhabditida; Strongylidae. The record is from RNAcentral.
AUUUCAUUAGUAAAAGUUAUUAUUAUAUUAUCUUGAUGAGGUAAAGUUCAAUGAAAUAG